UGCUUUAAUUUUUGCAGCGGUGGAGUGCGAGUACUAAACCUGAAAUGUAAACUGCAUCAGGAAGAUAAACGUUAAAAUUAGUGAAGGGAAGUUAAUGUUUGAAAUAAUGAAAAGUAGCUAAACCAGUUGAAUCUCUUUCUCCAAUUACUUCAUUGUCAAGAAGUUUGAUUUUUCCUUUUAUCCGGAUGAUGCAAACAAACUCUUCUGGGAUUACAGGGAAUCAGGUUUGAGAUUUCAGUCGCUGUUGUUUACACUGAAGUAGUUUUAGGAGCAGAAAUAUUAACAUCUCUGUCAACUUUAAGUUCUGGUGUAAUGCUGUUCAGUGAGAGAUGUGAAGUUAAGACAUGAAGAUGACGAGACACAUUAAAGAGAUGAAACUGAGAGAAAAUCUAACAGAAGAGAAGCUGAAAAAGAAACCAUUGAAAGAUGGAGAGGCGGUGGAGGACCGAGCUAAAUAUGUCUGUGACUUCAGUGAACAUUUAAAAGUGCUCCAGAAGAACAGCAUUGAUCAAUUUCAACCAAAUUUUUCUCUUAAUGCAGACAGAUCUGUGAAUCAUUCUGAUGACUGAAAGUUAAAGAUGAGAAAUCUGAGCUUCAUCUCAUCUAACUGUCAGAAAGUUCAUCAUGAAAGUUCAAUCACAGAUGUUCAUCUCUAAACAAGAUUUUCCUCUGAAAACGCUCAGAUUUAGUGAUUUAUGCUUACAUCUAUAUACUGUCUACAUGUCAUAUAUAGUGCUUAUAUAGUGUAAAACUCAUACUUACAUGCAGAGUUAAAGCUAAAGUUAAUGUGUUCAGUGUCAAAGUCUUUCAAUGUAAAAAUGUACACUUAUUUUAUUACAGUAUGUUAAUAUUAUUACUGUGAUUUUACUCUUACUGUGAACUUACAGAUAAUAUGCAAAAAGAUGAAACAUACUUAUUUUUAACAUUUGUCUUUGAGAAGGUGAUUAAUCCUUUAAUCCUGAUGUUGUAUACUGUAGGAGACAAACCCUUAAUAGUGUUCAAGGGCACAAUGAUGAAAUCUCAGUGUCUAUUAUUCAUUUCAAUGAAAAGAAAAGUACAGUAAGAUGUUGUGUAAGCUGAUAUAAGUGUCAAAGUCUAUUUAUGCUUCAUAUGUGGAGUAAUAAUCUAUUAGACUGUAUUCUGUUAAACCUGAAACUGUGAAUGUUGUGUAAAUCUGAUCAUCACACAUGAUGUAAAUGUCUUAACAAGCUUUGUUGUACAGUUUAGACUCUUUUACACUUCCAAUAAAAUAUUUCACUAGCAAAAUCAA
Non-coding RNA from Misgurnus anguillicaudatus (oriental weatherfish), 1270 nucleotides. The record is from RefSeq and is a predicted model, not a curated record. NCBI's taxonomy places the organism in Eukaryota, Metazoa, Chordata, Actinopteri, Cypriniformes, Cobitidae.